This 252-nucleotide ribosomal RNA is filed under the name uncultured bacterium. RNAcentral describes it as "partial 16S ribosomal RNA". It matches the Rfam family "Bacterial small subunit ribosomal RNA", at positions 524 to 776 of the family's 1533-position model. The record is from RNAcentral.
GACGUAGGGCGCGAGCGUUGUCCGGAUUUAUUGGGCGUAAAGGGCGUGCAGGCGGUCUGCUAAGUCUAGGGUGAAAGCUCCCGGCUCAACUGGGAGAGUCCUUGGAUACUGGCGGACUUGAGGGAGGUAGAGGAGAGUGGAAUUCCCGGUGUAGUGGUGAUAUGCGUAGAUAUCGGGAGGAACACCAGUGGCGAAGGCGGCUCACUGGACCGGAACUGACGCUGAGGCGCGAAAGCGUGGGGAGCAAACGGG